CGUUAGCUUUAGCCUUCGUCUCCGAACAUUCAUUAAUGCCUAUGGUAGCCUCUAAACUAUCUGAUAGAAUCCUGUUGGUGAUUGAUUCCUAUAGAAGAAUAGAUCACAUCUAGGAAGACACCAACACCAGAUGAUGUGAAAUAGGCUUUUAUAUUACGUAAAUGAAAACUGUGAGUACAGAAGAUAGGUAAAUGAUAGAACUACAAGAUUCUAAUGCUAUGUAAAGCUGCUCAACAAACAAUGAAAUGUAUAAAAGAUAGUUGGGUAUUCGAGAGACCCAAUACUCUCGCCUUGAUCCUUCUCAAUGCUCUUGCAAGCCUUAGUUCCCUCUACUUCUAUUUAUAGAUCUCCUCUAACUAACUAAGUCCAAUCAUCCCUUCAAUAACAAAUUCUAUUACUUCCUAGUCAGCUAUUCCAUUCUUCUUCUAGGUCCUUCUAGAAUAGGUAAAUUAUAUAGGAAACUUCUCACCAUCUCUCCUUACACAUUCAGAAACUCCAUUUGAAGGAAUAAGAACUUCCUAAAUACAGGCUAGAAUUUAUUACAGAAAUAGCAUAUUUUAAUUGAAAAUUAAAUUUAUGAAAGCAUUGACGUGACUUAGCAACAACUUUGACAAGAUCUUUUGACCGAAAUAUAAGCGUCUUUAUCAUACUAUCAUUUGCAACUCAGUUCCCCAUUUUAAUCAUCCUUGCAUUUUUCAACACAAUGGCUAGAUCAAACAUAUAUAAAUUAAAUAAAAAGGUAUGAAGACAAUAAUUCUAAUCAUCAUCACUGAGCCUGGUGAAUAGUACUAUGAAUUUGAAAGAUACUUAAUUUACACCUUAUCUAAUGUACACAAAUAAGGAGUUGCCCUAAGCUUGGUUCUUAGUAGAAUAAUUAACAGAAUCCAAAACUUGAAAUCUCGACUUUUUAAUUUAAUCAGCAAAAAAUGAUAAAUGAAUUAACAGCAUGCUAAAGAAUCAAGGAUCAGAUGGCAAAAUUGAACUAUAAAUCAUCACAAAAUAGCAAAAGCACCAUCAGUUCCCAACAUAAUCGAAACUGAUAAAGGAUGACAAAUAAUGAAAAAAACUCAUAAGAGAUUUUUGAAAACUAUAAGAAUUCCAUAAUCAUUGUGGACGUAAGGGGAGUAAAAAUUUCUAGUAUAAACAGAGCCAUCCUUUACAUGAACAUCCACGGGGAGGUCAACAAUGCACAUGGUUAUGAAUAACAAAGCAUCGCUCAUUGUAUGUGAAGACCUCUUGAGAGAAGAUUGAUCAUACUUUCAGAUUUAAUAAGUUCAAAAGUUUAGCAACAGGUUCUUCUUCUAACCUUUUUGUUGCUGUUACAAAGACCAACUCUUUUAUUCUUGUUCAAUCAAAAGCAAAUGAGUAAUAAAAUUUAAUUCAAUAGUGCUAUUUACAAUAUGACCAAUUGAAUGUUGGUUUAGAAUAUGCAUCAGUUAACUGAAAGGAUGUGAUGGACGAAUGUUAAACUAUCAGCAAUUUCUCAUAAUUGACACAGACUUGAAAGGGAUAUGACAGAGGAUUGCAAAAGCACAACUAUGAGAAAAUUAGAUAAAUUAACAAAGAUCAUCAAUUCAUUUCUUUCUAGGUUGAUUGAUAUGAUGAUGAGACAUAUAUUUUCACAUAUUAACAACAAGUGUGAAUAAAUCAUUGGUAAGUACAAUAAUGAAUUUCGAAUAUGAAUAGUUUUUAACAGUAUAGUUUCAAAAUCAUUUGUAUAAUUUCAAAAUUUCGUUCAUGCAUAUUGAAUGUUUAAAAGAACAACGAAACACAUUAAAGUCAACAUUCAUUUGAUUAAAAUAAUAGACUAAAAAUAAAUCAUAAUGCAUAUGAGAACGAAAUAAGGAUUUAAACACAAUUUCAUCUAAUAACACUCAACAGGUUCAGGUACAAUGCUUGAAAAUCUCAAAAUUUAAGAUCAAGAGAAUCCAGCAGAGCGCAGUGUGUAGUUUAGGUUAAACGUGUAAUAUCCAAAGAAAUAAAAUAGAAUGAGGAAAGUAUUACUAAAUGAAAAUAAAGAGAAAAAAAUUUAAGUAACCUGCAUCAAUGACCAUCUUGUCAAUCUCACCGAUGUCUAUCUUCUCAACAGAAGAAUGGUGAGCCACUUCACGUAAGACACAACCAUCUCCUCAUCCAAUAACCACAACCUGAAUUUAAGUAACAUUAACACUUAACAGAAUAAGGAAAAUGAGAAAAACAGAGAGCACCAAUAGUCCAGGUAGGUUGAGUGCGAUAUUGGGAAUCUAAUGAAUCGGUUAAAAAAAAUUAUGGAGUCAUGUGUUGUUAGUCCAACAUCAGCCAAAAUGCCAACAAUGGGAAGGACAUAAUCAUUCAUUCUGGAUGGAAAUGCUGAAGUCUAAAGGCAAGGAAAACAACUUGACAUGCUUAUAUUUUCCAGAAUAGAGUCCGAAAAAAACGAGGGAGAACUUGAGUAAAUGAGAAUGGCAUUCAGUAUUUCUGAGGCUCAAAAGGCAAGCUAUAGAACAAUGCCGACCUCUUAACAAGCCACAUUUUAAA
This 2517-nucleotide long non-coding RNA is filed under the name Olea europaea subsp. europaea. The record is from RNAcentral. Lineage: Eukaryota; Viridiplantae; Streptophyta; Magnoliopsida; Lamiales; Oleaceae.